RNAcentral lists this transfer RNA (74 nucleotides) under Tannerella forsythia. RNAcentral describes it as "tRNA-Gln". It matches the Rfam family "tRNA". From Rfam's summary of the family: Transfer RNA (tRNA) molecules are approximately 80 nucleotides in length. Their secondary structure includes four short double-helical elements and three loops (D, anti-codon, and T loops). The record is from RNAcentral. Lineage: Bacteria; Pseudomonadati; Bacteroidota; Bacteroidia; Bacteroidales; Tannerellaceae. RNAcentral also lists the same sequence under 1 other name.
UGUCUCAUGGUGUAAUGGUAGCACAACAGGUUUUGGUUCUGUUUGUCCAAGUUCGAAUCUUGGUGAGACAACAA